RNAcentral lists this ribosomal RNA (417 nucleotides) under uncultured bacterium. RNAcentral describes it as "bacterial SSU rRNA". It matches the Rfam family "Bacterial small subunit ribosomal RNA", at positions 355 to 786 of the family's 1533-position model. The record is from RNAcentral.
UGGGGAAUAUUGGGCAAUGGGCGAAAGCCUUACCCAGCAACGCCGCGUGAGGGAAGAAGGUUUUCGGAUUGUAAACCUCUGUCCUGGGGGACGAAGGAAGUGACGGUACCCCGGGAGGAAGCCCCGGCUAACUACGUGCCAGCAGCCGCGGUAAUACGUAGGGGGCGAGCGUUGUCCGGAAUUAUUGGGCGUAAAGGGCGCGUAGACGGCCGAGUAAGUUAUAGGUGAAAGCCCAUCUUCAAGGAGUGGAAUUGCCUGUAAUACUGCCUGGCUUGAGUGCAGGAGAGGGAAGCGGAAUUCCUAGUGUAGCGGUGAAAUGCGUAGAUAUUAGGAGGAACACCAGUGGCGAAGGCGGCUUUCUGGACUGUAACUGACGUUGAGGCGCGAAAGCGUGGGGAGCAAACAGGAUUAGAUACC